CCCCUGAUCGGGGUUGCGGACAGUGUCUGGUGGGUAGUUUGACUGGGGCGGUCUCCUCCUAAAGAGUAACGGAGGAGCACGAAGGUUGGCUAAUCCUGGUCGGACAUCAGGAGGUUAGUGCAAUGGCAUAAGCCAGCUUGACUGCGAGCGUGACGGCGCGAGCAGGUGCGAAAGCAGGUCAUAGUGAUCCGGUGGUUCUGAAUGGAAGGGCCAUCGCUCAACGGAUAAAAGGUACUCCGGGGAUAACAGGCUGAUACCGCCCAAGAGUUCAUAUCGACGGCGGUGUUUGGCACCUCGAUGUCGGCUCAUCACAUCCUGGGGCUGAAGUAGGUCCCAAGGGUAUGGCUGUUCGCCAUUUAAAGUGGUACGCGAGCUGGGUUUAGAACGUCGUGAGACAGUUC
Molecule: ribosomal RNA, 401 nt
Filed under: Escherichia coli
Lineage: Bacteria; Pseudomonadati; Pseudomonadota; Gammaproteobacteria; Enterobacterales; Enterobacteriaceae
Description: partial 23S ribosomal RNA
Rfam family: Bacterial large subunit ribosomal RNA
Source: RNAcentral